UGGGGAAUAUUGGUCAAUGGGCGGAAGCCUGAUCCAGCCAUGCCGCGUGUGUGAAUAAGGCCUUUUGGUUGUAAAGCACUUUAAGCGAGGAGGAGGCUACUUGGAUUAAUACUCUAGGGUAGUGGACGUUACUCGCAGAAUAAGCACCGGCUAACUCUGUGCCAGCAGCCGCGGUAAUACAGAGGGUGCGAGCGUUAAUCGGAUUUACUGGGCGUAACGCGUGCGUAGGCGGCUUCUUAAGUCGGAUGUGAAAUCCCUGAGCUUAACUUAGGAAUUGCAUUUGAUACUGGGAAGCUAGAGUAUGGGAGAGGAUGGUGGAAUUCCAGGUGUAGCGGUGAAAUGCUUAGAGAUCUCAAGGAAUACCGAUGGCGAAGGCAGCCAUCUGGCCUAAUACUGACGCUGAGGUACGAAAGCAUGGGGAGCAAACAGG
Molecule: ribosomal RNA, 430 nt
Filed under: bacterium
Lineage: Bacteria
Description: partial 16S ribosomal RNA
Rfam family: Bacterial small subunit ribosomal RNA
Source: RNAcentral